UACGUAGGGUGCGAGCGUUGUCCGGAAUUAUUGGGCGUAAAGAGCUCGUAGGUGGCUUGUCACGUCGGGUGUGAAAGCUUGGGGCUUAACUCCAGGUCUGCAUUCGAUACGGGCUGGCUAGAGGUAGGUAGGGGAGAACGGAAUUCCUGGUGUAGCGGUGAAAUGCGCAGAUAUCAGGAGGAACACCGGUGGCGAAGGCGGUUCUCUGGGCCGUAACUGACGCUGAGACGCGAAAGCGUGGGGAGCAAACAGG
This 253-nucleotide ribosomal RNA is filed under the name uncultured bacterium. Its description in RNAcentral is "partial 16S ribosomal RNA". It matches the Rfam family "Bacterial small subunit ribosomal RNA", at positions 524 to 776 of the family's 1533-position model. The record is from RNAcentral.